RNAcentral lists this ribosomal RNA (1457 nucleotides) under Bacillus sp. IG6. RNAcentral describes it as "partial 23S ribosomal RNA". It matches the Rfam family "Bacterial large subunit ribosomal RNA", at positions 1 to 1456 of the family's 2925-position model. The record is from RNAcentral. Lineage: Bacteria; Bacillati; Bacillota; Bacilli; Caryophanales; Bacillaceae.
GGUUAAGUUAGAAAGGGCGCACGGUGGAUGCCUUGGCACUAGGAGCCGAUGAAGGACGGGACGAACACCGAUAUGCUUCGGGGAGCUGUAAGCAAGCUUUGAUCCGGAGAUUUCCGAAUGGGGAAACCCACUGCUCGUAAUGGAGCAGUAUCCAUAUCUGAAUCCAUAGGAUAUGUGAAGGCAGACCCGGGGAACUGAAACAUCUAAGUACCCGGAGGAAGAGAAAGCAAAUGCGAUUCCCUGAGUAGCGGCGAGCGAAACGGGAACAGCCCAAACCAAGAGGCUUGCCUCUUGGGGUUGUAGGACACUCUAUACGGAGUUACAAAAGAACGAGGUAGACGAAGAGGUCUGGAAAGGCCCGCCAUAGGAGGUAACAGCCCUGUAGUCAAAACUUCGUUCUCUCCUGAGUGGAUCCUGAGUACGGCGGAACACGUGAAAUUCCGUCGGAAUCCGGGAGGACCAUCUCCCAAGGCUAAAUACUCCCUAGUGACCGAUAGUGAACCAGUACCGUGAGGGAAAGGUGAAAAGCACCCCGGAAGGGGAGUGAAAGAGAUCCUGAAACCGUGUGCCUACAAGUAGUCAGAGCCCGUUAACGGGUGAUGGCGUGCCUUUUGUAGAAUGAACCGGCGAGUUACGAUCCCGUGCAAGGUUAAGUUUGAAAAGACGGAGCCGCAGCGAAAGCGAGUCUGAAUAGGGCGCAUGAGUACGUGGUCGUAGACCCGAAACCAGGUGAUCUACCCAUGUCCAGGGUGAAGUUCAGGUAACACUGAAUGGAGGCCCGAACCCACGCACGUUGAAAAGUGCGGGGAUGAGGUGUGGGUAGGGGUGAAAUGCCAAUCGAACCUGGAGAUAGCUGGUUCUCUCCGAAAUAGCUUUAGGGCUAGCCUCAAGGUAAGAGUCUUGGAGGUAGAGCACUGAUUGGACUAGGGGCCCCUACCGGGUUACCGAAUUCAGUCAAACUCCGAAUGCCAAAGACUUAUCCUUGGGAGUCAGACUGCGAGUGAUAAGAUCCGUAGUCGAAAGGGAAACAGCCCAGACCGCCAGCUAAGGUCCCAAAGUAUACGUUAAGUGGAAAAGGAUGUGGAGUUGCUUAGACAACCAGGAUGUUGGCUUAGAAGCAGCCACCAUUUAAAGAGUGCGUAAUAGCUCACUGGUCGAGUGACUCUGCGCCGAAAAUGUACCGGGGCUAAACGUAUCACCGAAGCUGCGGACUGUUCUUGCGAACAGUGGUAGGAGAGCGUUCUAAGGGCUGUGAAGCGAGACCGGAAGGACUCGUGGAGCGCUUAGAAGUGAGAAUGCCGGUAUGAGUAGCGAAAGAGGGGUGAGAAUCCCCUCCACCGAAUGCCUAAGGUUUCCUGAGGAAGGCUCGUCCGCUCAGGGUUAGUCGGGACCUAAGCCGAGGCCGAAAGGCGUAGGCGAUGGAUAACAGGUUGAUAUUCCUGUACCACCUCCUCACC